RNAcentral lists this long non-coding RNA (9504 nucleotides) under Monomorium pharaonis (pharaoh ant). RNAcentral describes it as "uncharacterized LOC114253936". Lineage: Eukaryota; Metazoa; Arthropoda; Insecta; Hymenoptera; Formicidae. The record is from RNAcentral.
UCUGCGUAACCGGCGCGCGCGCUCCGUCCUGCCGUACACACCCGACGCCGCUCGAGGCGCGCGCGUCCUCUCUCACCGUCCCGCCUCCCGCCGCGCUCGGCUACGUUCGGCCGCGCUCGGCUCGCCGCGCCGGCCGUUCGCCGUACACGAACGUACAUGUAUGUACGGGACGCGUAGGUGGCCGUUACGCCGCGCGCGCGUUCCGACGAGUCAAUUCUCCCUCUCGGACGGAAGGAUGACCGCUCAUUCUGCGACCUUUUCGGAACAAGUUGCAAUUGGUGCAAGGUUGUGACUUACUGGAACAUACGAAAGUUACAUAGUCUCGCAGUGCGUCGCAAUAAAGUAACGAUAUCCAAUGAAUAAGUUCCUUCGACAAGAACUGACAUCGCACACUCGCGGAAAGGCGUGGGACGUGAUAAAACACUGCGAAAAAGUAGGUAUUCCACAAAGAUUACUUUUGAGCACACAGAAUGAGGUUUCGUUAUGAAACAACUCCGGAAAGAAGACUAAAUAAACAACUUCGAAGAAGUGAAGGUAUAUAACGUUCGACAAAUUACAAAAGUUUGCGCUGCAGCGGAAAUAACACAGAAUUUCGCUAUUUCAACAAGUUUGUAUUUCAUUUAAUUAGCGACUUACUCUACCUUCACCGUUAUUCGCUUUAACGUCAAUCGAUCGAUUGCGCAAGAGUUAAGUGUGUGCUGUCGUUUUCCAAGACGAUUUUAAUCCACGAAAAACCAAUGUAAAACUGAACGAACUGAUCUUCGAAGAUAGAUGUGGAAAUACAACUAAUUUCACUUGAGUUGCUUUCCAUGUUCUAUUCAGGAUCAAAUUUUUGGGGGGGAGAAAAUUUUACUUGGAAAUGUUUUGAGAUCGUUAACGUAUCGGGAAUACUCUGAUAUCGGAUUAGAAACGUUUAUGAUUUUUGUUUACAUGAUUUUUGUAGCUUAAGUGGUCUAAGAGAGAAACAAUUUUUGCAGCGAAACUGCAACCCCAUAUAAUUUAAUAAAAUCGCAAGACGAUACUAACAGAGAAGCGAUGUAACAAAAAGACCUUUCAACGACAAUAAACCUAAAUUAUGACAUCAUUAGUGUAUGUCGAUCAAAGGGUGAGAAAGGCCCACUCCUGUAAACUCCUGUAAGCUAUUACAUAGUACGAUUACGCUAAUAAAUAACGGGGUUGAACAUACGUGCGUAAUUAAUGACGGGCGCGCGUGUCGUCGUGUGAUUUGCACAGCUAAUAGUUUCCCGUAAAACCGGUAUCCGAUCGAAGGUCUCCCCGCCCUUCCUCGCGCGCGGAUAUUUUAGUACGCCGUGCAUCAGGUUGCAUCCUGUCGCCGCGCCGACGCGCAAUUUCCUUCCGCACGCGACUCGGCGUUCUGGUUUAACGUAUCUCCUAGACCGGAAAUGACACGCGCCAAGCGUAAGACGCCGGAAGCCGUUUCGUACGUAAAAUUCUUGAUCCCGGAAAUCGUAGGCGAAACGACCGAAACGUAACUAUCGGUCCGUGCCGAUCGUGAAAGUGAUCGCGUGCGAGCUGGCGAGCUGACCAGCGAAUCGAAAAUUGUUCCGAAUAUCGCUCUAUAUAUAGAGGUUGAGCAUUCUUUCUUCGAAGACGCUUCCCGAAAGGCACGAGAAUUGUCUCCUCCAUCUCGCGAAUGACUUCCGAAGCAACCGGUGGUUGACGCAAACGAGGUCACGCCGUGACACCUCGUCUGUUUCCAACCCUUUGAGAUUCUAACAAAAGGUACAAGGCGGAAUCGCAAUAAAAUUGACGUAAUUUUUCACCCAAAGCAUUUGUGUACGGUAAACGGGCGAGAUAUUAAUGAAUUGUCAACUUUUCCUUUGAUUCGUAAAAAUUAACGGAGCAUUUGUUUCCCAGUGACAGAUUGACAAAUUGCGAGGGCGAAGGGUGAAAGUAAAUAAAUGACAAAAUCAAACGUGAAUAAUGCAAUAUCCGUCUGACGCAAAUGAUGAAAAAUAAAAGAGAUAUAAUUUUAUCAAUAUCUUCCAAGUGGAUUGCAAUUAUUAUUUAUUUUGACUCAUUAGAGCUAGGAAAAUUUAUAAUCAAUUUGAAUUACUAAUUGAAUUUAUACACCUCUCAAUUUGAUUCUAAAUUGUUCGUAUAUUUCUGUCUUGAAAAAUAUUUUGAAUCUGAAUCAGAUCAAAUAGACUAAAUUUGAACGAGAUAUCAUGAAAAGGGAAAAAAUAAAAGCUUAUUUCUAUUUUUAAAAAAUAUAUUUUUGCAUAAAUGUUUCUUCAUAUAUCAACUGUUUCAUAAAAUUUUUAGAAUAUUCAUUGAAUUGUUCCGUAAUCCAACCGUUUGAUUUAUUAAAAUUUCAUUCUAAAAACUAUUCAAAGUUAAAAAAUUAAAUAUUCCUAAAAUUCCUGAAAGUCUCUAAACCUGAAUUAAUUAAAUGUUACUGAUUUAUAACAGUACUAUGUACUUAUAAUCGUAAUAAUCAGUGAUUGUUCAUUGUCUUUCAGUGAAUAACAUACUAAUUUCGAUUUAAAGUAUUUAACAAGUUUGACAUGUAAUCAGAGGCUAUGUUUGUGCUGUACUACUUGUACUACUUGUGUUAUUAUUAAGUCUGGUAUUAUAACUCUUAAGGUAUUUAUGAUGUCUAACAAUAAGUAGAAAAUUUAUUUGUGCGCAAUUUUUGCGAUAAGGUAAUUUUUCUAAGUCGCGAGGAUAAAUUCUCCUUAAAAGGCUCGCGGGAUCUAGAUCGGGAACGACAUAUAUUGGCAUAAGUAUCUGGGCCAAGUGAAACUGGUUAUGGAAAAGCCUUGCCCCGACGAUGCUGCUUUUCUUUCGAAAGAUGGCCAAACUGGUUUUGACCUUGGCGAAGAUGGCCUCGAUGCGGCUACGCGAAGAAACGUUAAGAUCGCGGCGCAUUCUUCGCCCUAUAUAUGAGAGUUACGUUUUCAUUUGAUAGAAAAAAGUGCAACGGAAGAGACAUAAACAGCAAACUAAAUAAUGAAAACAGUAAAAAUAAAUAGCGAAAGUUUAUGAAUAAACGAACGUUUAUUGUGCAUCGGCUUACGUUAAAAUAUUAAUUAUGUUGCCAAUGUGAAAAUUUUAACGUAAAGCACCAAUCUCUACUAUAAUAAUAAUAAUAAUAAUAUUAUUAUUAUUAUAAUGUAGUACAUAUAGAUAUUGCUACAAAUGAUGUUUCACUGUGAUUUUAUUCUAUAUAACGAUGGUUAUUAGUACAUAUAAAUUAAAUUUUCGCUAUAAUUAAAGAGUUGCGCUGGAACGUCCUGAAUAAUGAACGUUAAUGAAUAUUAAUCUACAUAAUAAGUAAUACAAUAAACAUGAAACAUUCAAAAGUGAAUUCUAGUAACCAUACAACUUUUAUUGAAACGAAAAAGGCUUUAUCUUUAUUUUUUACGUAAAGUAUUAUUUUUUAUAACAAAAGGAAAUCUCUAAUUUCAUAAUCAUGAUAAGAAAUCAUCUUUAAUAAUGUCUUUAAUGCAUCAUUUUCUUCAAUAUACAACGCACAAAUUAAGUGAAAUAGCUUGUGUAUUUUUUACCCUGCGUGUUUAGUUACAUAAAAAAUUUAAUAAUGUCCAGAAUUAACAAGAUAAGCGAUUAAUGUGCAGAUGCUAUAUCUAUGCCUAAGAUUCGCAAGUGUCCUCAAAUUUCUUUUUCCGCGCGUUCAAUUAAAUUCCAUGAACAUGUAUCCUGAAGGUGAAUGAUGCCGUCGAAUGCUGACCGAGACUGAGUCCUAAUUUUCGACAAGACUGAGCGACUCACCACCGUGAUGUAUGGCGUACCGCCAUAUAAGGCGUAUAAUAAUACGAAGUUAGAGACUGCGAUAUCCAUGCCAGGCCUGCGCUCUCUCUCUUUCUCUCUCUCUCUCUCUCUCGGCAGGUCUUCGUGCUGAGAGCGGAGGAAGCUCGUGAAGCCGAGGACUGUAAGACCGCGUAGAUCCCUCUUCGUGGAAGUCUCGUAGGGACGCGGGGGAGCCAACGAGGCAUCCUCUUCCCUUUUUCUUCCUUCCCCCUUCUUCCCUCGCCGUUCCUUUUCUCUCGUUUGCCUUCCUUUACCAUUCGUCCUUCUCUUACCAACGUGCGCGUUUGCACUUCCACUUAUCCUUUUCGUCCUUUCUGCUGGAACGGAGAAGGCAUUCAAGCCGUCCCGCUCUCUUCGUUCCUUUCGGAUCAUACGAUCGCCUUUCUUUUCUUCUCGCAAUGUCCUUGUCUUUUCCGUCUCGCGCAGUUUCCUUUUGCUUGUCUUCUCUUCUUCCUGUAGCCAUGAUUUUCUCUACGAGGUUGCUUCUUCCGCUUGUAAUUACUGUCGAUAUGUUCUGUCUAUGUCGCCAUUUGUGAAUUUCUUUUUCUCAUACACUUUAUUUUAUUUAUCUCGUUCUUAAUGAGUUUUAAAUCUCACAAGCAUUUUAUUGUGAACUGUUGGAAAUGCUUUUGAAACUUCUUUAGACUAUUCAUGGAUUUGUAUCGCAAACUCUAUUGUUUCUCUCCUCCCCUUUCUCAUAUAAUUUUCUUCCUCUUAUACAUUUUUUAUAAUUUCAAUAUAAUACCUCUUCAUCUCCCUACUUAUUACGAUCUCUUGUGACCUGUGGAAUUUCUUGUAUCAACAUAUUUGCCAUUUAUAUCCGUCAUUUCCCUUUCAUCUCGCGCUGCACCUUUCUCGCUGCAUCCAGUUUCGCCUUCUCCAUCGUUUCCAUCCGCCUUCUUUCCCGGCUGGGGCAACCAUUAUAUACCUCGCGAUACGUCUCGCCGCCUGUAGCGACUGCUGCGACCGUGCAACGUUGCAUCCCGUCGACUGCAUUCCGUUCAAACUACCUCGGACGACUGCGUCUUUUGAUAGUCGCAAUUCGAAGAAGGAGCUUCCCUAGUUUCAGAUAGUCUUCCUUUGGUUACUUGCCAAGUAUAGCUUUGAACAGCAGCUUCCAUAUAAAUGCGAUACACAUGCCAAUGUGUUAACAAUUUUAAAUUUUUUCACCGUGCUAUCGUAAUCGAUAUGCAACUUGUUUGUAAAUUUGUCCAAUUGAAGUUCUUUAGACGACUGAUCUUGUAAUUUGAAAAAGUCGAUUUAUUAUCAAUCAAUCAGAUAAAUCAAUUCUGAAAAAUCAACAAAAAUUUAAUAAGUUUAUAUUAUUUUAUACCUAAAUAACAGUUCCAUAAUAAAUGUAAUUAUUGCUUGUUUAUGUUAUAUUAAUUUUGAUUAUGAUGUUUUCUAACUUAUUUUACGAUUAAUAAUUUAAAGAACAAUAUCUCGAGAUAAAAAAUUAAUAUAAAAAAAUCAUUAUUUAUGCAUAUCGACUUGGUCACUUUUUACAACAUUAUUCGAAGGAAAACUUCUUGCCUCUGUUACCUCUCCAAUGAUGCGAGUGGUCGGAAAAGUCGGGAGGAAGAAAGAGGGUGCGUGAUGGAUCUCGGGGCGCCCAGAUCGCGAUUCGGGGCUUUAGGCCCCGAGCCACACAGAUCCCAAAGAGGACAAUAGACAGACCGUUAGACGCGGUGCAGAGCAAGGUACAUCGGACUGAAUCUUGGCCUGGGAAUGCUUGAACGAAGGGCAUCUUGAGGGACCUCGACCCGAGUCGAGGGUCCCGCCGGGGCUUGGAGAAACUGGUUUACCUGCCACCUUCUUCGUCGUCCUCUCUUUUCUCCGGACGUGGCGGUUCCGUGGCGAUGGAACGGCGAAGAAUGCAAAGACGCAGCAGCACGAACGUCUCUCUUUCUCUCUAUCUCUCUCUUGAAGAGAAGACGACAAUAAUCGGCUGAAUUUCUUCACAGUUUACUCUAGUUUUUCGUCGACCACCAAAAUUCCACAAAGUAUGAGAAUAAUCCGUUAUCUGAUAUUAUCCGGAAGAGCAUUUAAAUUUGAGCUGAUUUUAUAGAAUGGUAUUGGCUGUGUCUUUGUGUUUUCUGCGAUAAAACUCAUUACAAUACGAGAGAUUUCCAAUUCGAUAUCUCGAAUGUGAAUUUUUUCUUCGAAAAUUUUAGCUUUCUUUAUAGACUUGUUUAGAUAUGACGAUAAGUCAAACAUUGGUUAAUACAAUGGUAAUAAAGAUAAUAUCUUUGCAAUACGUUCCGUUUCUCUCCUGCGCUCCUCGCUGUCUUGUAGAACCUAGAAUUUUCGUGUGGAGGGGAGAAGAAGGUUUCACGGGAGCUGCGUGGUAACUGAGAACGCGCAUUUAAAUUGCAACUUAGGACACGGGAACAUUGUAACGGGAAUUUCUUCCGAUGGCUUGGCUGUGAUUCCAAAUGGGAAUACAUGCACACGAAGGCACAUAAAUGAUGUUAUCUAGGGGCGCCUGCACGCUGGAAUUUCUAAUAUCGGACAUAGCAUCGAGUCGAAUAUUUUAUCCUUUAAUCUCUGAGUAAUUUCAGAUGAUAUCUUGAAUAGCUGCAAGCGGUUUUCAAAUUGCCGGGUCACAGUAAUAAAGAUGUUUACAAAAUUACUUAAAAAAUAUAUCUUUACAUACGGGGAAAUCUCUAUAAAAUGGAUUCCACCUACAAUUUUGUUAUUUCUUUAUUUUAAAUUAAAUUAACUUACAUUAAAUUAAUUGUUUUGAUAAUACAACUUUAGCAGUAUUUGACAUUUUAUGAUGUCGUUAAUCUUUCUUUAAAUUUAUUAAUCUUUCAAUAAAAAAAAAAUACAUUUUUAAGUAGCACUAAAAAUUUAUUAUAAGUUGGGAAGUUUUUAUAUAUCGGAAGAAUUUUUGGAAUCUUGUGAAAUAUUGUUUGCAACAGAUUGCUACAGAUAUGAGCAUAUCGCUCGCGGUAUCGUAUUAUUAACAACAGUACAACUUACGUCAUCUUCGAAUAUUCAUUUAAGAAUUUAUUAAGAUUUAUCGGCGAAAUGUCAAAUGUCAGCCGUGUUUAAUGAUGUAACCUAGUUUACUUUGCUUUAAAUUUUCUUUAUUUGCACCUUUUUCUUGAGACUGAUUAAAGUUUUCUUAAAACUGAUUAAAAAUUUUAAGUAUCUUUCUCGUAAUAAUAGGAUCGUAUAUUUACAUGUAAUUCGUGUAUAAGUAUGUAUCUUUGUUAUUAAAAUAAGGACAUAACUUCGUGUACUUUUUAUUUUUUAUUAUAAUUUAUUAUAAACUCCUAUUGACGACAAACAGUUAUCAAAAUUUAUUGUAAAAAUAUUGAUUGAAUUAUGAUUUGUAAUAAAUAUAAUAUCUUUAAAAUAAUAAUAUACGAUACAACGGGAAUAGUUAUAAAUUCUAUAUUAAAUGUAUAAGUAGUAUAGUGAUAUCAUGCGUGUAAUUAUAAUUGCAGAUUAGUUACAAUUAAUUGAGCUGAUUCACGUUUACAAGUAGUGUCCUGCAUUAUUAAUAAGUUAAUUUAAUCACUAAUUUUGCUGCCUUCUAAUACUAUCAAUCAAUAUUGUAUUUAAGUAGGAACAAUUUAUAUCUAUCUUACAAAUUUGUACAAGGCUAAAGACAAUGUUGAUUCAAUUGCCACUUGCGUAUGCAGACCAUUAAAUCUCGUUAAAGGAUUUAUAGAUUUUAAUUAUUUGAAGAGAAGUGCAUGCAGCAGGAGGAGGAAGAGAAGGAAGUGGAAAUCUUGUUUCUCCGAGGAUAAAGAGAUUUCUCAAUGAGGAUUUUCUCUUCUAUAUCGAGAACUUAUUAUUUCGGAUUUUCUUGAAGAGCGGAAAUCUUCUUGUUACAUCGCGCGUAAAGAAUUUCCGACGGUUCAGAAUUGAAGCUUGUUGCUUAUUUGCGAUUAUAAAAUCUACACACGUGACUUGCACACGACUAAUUACAUCGGCGUGGUCUAUUGCUCGAGAACAAGAUUUCCGCGCUUGGUUCAAUUACACUUUACUUGAUUCUAAUCUACUGAAGGAGGGAUUAAUUGCAUCGUGAUGAAAGUGCGAAAACUCGAUGUUUGAAGAAUAUUCCCAUGUCGCUAAUUACCAAUGUGAUAAUACUCAAUUUAUCUUUUCUAUGUACGGUGACAUUAUUAAAUUUUUGCUAUUGUAGCAAUGAAAGGAAGCAAAUUUCCUGUUUAUGUGAUUUGUUAUUUCAUUUUUUAAAUUGGUAUAUAAUUGUCGAGAAUUUCUAAAAUUUAAAAAGAUCUUUUUCGAAGCCCGAUAUUUUGUAUGAAAUUUUAUUAAAGACGCGCAUUGACUUCGAUUUCAACGAGAAAUCCAUAGUUGAAAGGCCUCGUGGUGAAUUCACAAGAUCCUUUUGUACAGGGCACAUGUAAAUGCGAGUAAAUGCACACACGGCCGAGUACGUAUAAAGGGAAUGAAUUAACAUCAGUAAUAUAUGCGAUCCUAGAAUUUCCGCAAUGCGGCGCUGUUUAGGCUUGCAUGCAUCUCAUCAUGGCGUGCGUACAUAGAGAAAAGUCACCAAUACGGGUAUACCACUUUGUUUUUGGAUAGUAUUUUUUAAACAAAAGUUGAAAAGAAAAUUUUAAAAACAGUAUUUCUGUAUUUAUUUAUCCAUUAUUUGCAUUAUUUUAAUACUAAAAAGUGUCGAAUAUUAUUUUAACACAAAAUAUUUAAACAACACAAUCUUAUGUCAAGUUAAAAAGUAUAUUAAAAAGUCAACACAAAAACUCUAACAAGAAAGAUUUCAACACAAGUACAAAAUGUUUUUUGUGAUACAUAAACGUUUAAUUAAAUUAUUUCUAAUAGAGAGAGAGAGGGGGGAGUAUAUGAUGAGUAUAGGAUGAUAGGGGGAGUAUAGGAUGAGAGAAUGAAAACCAUAAAUCCUCGCGGAAACUCAUCUGUCACUCAAAUAUGAGUGACAGGGCAAUCAAAGUAUUAACGCGGCAAGCGAGCUAACUACCCCAUUUAAUGACAUUUGUGGCAUCUAUCGCAUAAGAUCGCUGCGGUAAUACGAGAGAGCUUCAAGGGGUCAUUGACGGUGGAACAAAGGCUAUAAUGGCGCGAGAUUUUGGCACGGUAUCCGGUCGAAUGCCGUGAGCCACAUAGAUGCUUGCCAGGAUUCUACAAGUGGUUGACCCUGGCCGCGAGACGGCACGACGCAACACGACGCGACAGUCUGCCCCGCCGCAGGUAUUGAUACGUGAACGCGAACGGAAAGUACAUUUGGUCAUCACCGAUCGCUAGUCGCCGCUUAUUGAACGGUUAAACAUUUUGCCUCAUAUUAUUUACCUCGCAGUAUAAUCUCUCGUAUUUAGGCACUAUAUUACUUCGGCUCUAUAUUAACUUUAUCGCGUCGAAUACGCCGUGCUGAAUCCAUUAGGGAAGUUCAUAAUUGUGCAACGCGGAAAGGGAUCGAUGCGACUACUCUGAAAAUGCCUGUUCGAGAAACAAGGAGCGAGAAACAUCCUCCUCGCCGAAGGAGAUCGGUCCAUCGGGUUGUUGGGUUUGGAAUCCCAAUAGACGUGGAUGAACCCCGGCAUUCCGGCUCGUACCUCAUCAUUUGAACGCGUCUGCGAUCCAGCGCGACGAUGAAUUUUCGUGUCAUGGACGCGAACGCGCGGCAAUAGAUAUAGCCGCAGAAUAAAUCAAUUGCUUGCGCGUACUUUUGCUUACGGCGCUAUAAAAAAAAAAAAAAAAAAA